AGUGAACGCUGGCGGUAGGCCUAACACAUGCAAGUCGAACGGCAGCACAGUAAGAGCUUGCUCUUACGGGUGGCGAGUGGCGGACGGGUGAGGAAUACAUCGGAAUCUACUUUUUCGUGGGGGAUAACGUAGGGAAACUUACGCUAAUACCGCAUACGACCUACGGGUGAAAGCAGGGGAUCUUCGGACCUUGCGCGAUUGAAUGAGCCGAUGUCGGAUUAGCUAGUUGGCGGGGUAAAGGCCCACCAAGGCGACGAUCCGUAGCUGGUCUGAGAGGAUGAUCAGCCACACUGGAACUGAGACACGGUCCAGACUCCUACGGGAGGCAGCAGUGGGGAAUAUUGGACAAAGGGCGCAAGCCUGAUCCAGCCAUACCGCGUGGGUGAAGAAGGCCUUCGGGUUGUAAAGCCGUUUUGUUGGGAAAGAAAAGCAGCAGGUUAAUACCCCGCUGUUCUGACGGUACCCAAAGAAUAAGCACCGGCUAACUUCGUG
RNAcentral lists this ribosomal RNA (492 nucleotides) under uncultured bacterium. Its description in RNAcentral is "partial 16S ribosomal RNA". It matches the Rfam family "Bacterial small subunit ribosomal RNA", at positions 29 to 507 of the family's 1533-position model. The record is from RNAcentral.